AACCCUAACCUGUCCACCUCCCGUCACCAUAAGCGGCGGCCGCCACUACCUUCUCCAGUCUCUACUGUGCGUCUGCUGAGGUGAGAGCGCAAGGGGAUGCCAAGGUGCCGGCGAUGCCGUCCAUCACUAUCGGCCAUCAUCGUCUAGCUGGGGUCAUCGCAAUCCAGGCGGUAAACUGCAACUCGUCACCCAAGACAGCCCCAUCGCAGUGCCAUCCUCCAUACCUUCACUUCUGACAACAUCUACCGCUUGAAUCCUUGAUCCGUGUGCUUGAAUCCUUGAUCUGCUAGACUUCGAUUAUUGAUUGCUAAGUGAUGGAGGGAUUUUGGAUGGCGGCCUGAGAAUUAAGAGCUGGAACAAUUUUAGCUAGCAGCCUAUCUUAUUUGAGCAAUAUUGUAAAUCUGUAAUAAUCUAAUAAAUUUUUGUUUAUUUUCUUGGCUAGUUAAAUACUCGUUGUGAUGA
This is a long non-coding RNA of Panicum virgatum (switchgrass), 462 nucleotides long. RefSeq lists it as uncharacterized. Lineage: Eukaryota; Viridiplantae; Streptophyta; Magnoliopsida; Poales; Poaceae. The record is from RefSeq and is a predicted model, not a curated record. The transcript has 2 exons.